Small nucleolar RNA from Bison bison bison, 135 nucleotides. Lineage: Eukaryota; Metazoa; Chordata; Mammalia; Artiodactyla; Bovidae. The record is from Ensembl.
UUGCAUUCUUAAACCCUCUUGGUAGCUUCAACCUGAUUGCUUCCAGGAUAUGAGUGAAUGCCAUAGGAAUUGCAGGGGAGUCCAAAGGGCUGUGCCUCUCCUGUGGCUCAGUCUUAUUUCGUACCUGCGACAUCU